This 7597-nucleotide long non-coding RNA is filed under the name Lactuca sativa (garden lettuce). RNAcentral describes it as "long non-coding RNA (LSAT_LNC007287)". Lineage: Eukaryota; Viridiplantae; Streptophyta; Magnoliopsida; Asterales; Asteraceae. The record is from RNAcentral.
CAUGAAAUGAAAUGAUGUUUCUAGCCAUUUCUGGCGAAUAGCAACAAUUGUUCAAAUCUAAAACCAAACUAUUCCUAAACACUAAAGAAUACACUCCAAUCUUGGUUACAGGCGACGAUCUUCUGUUCCCCAUGAUUAGAUUGAUCCUUCCUUGCUCCACAUCCCUACUUCUUCUUAGUCCCUGCACAUUAGAACAAAUGUGAUAACCACAACCGGUAUCAAGAACCCAAGAAAUAGCAUGAUUAGAAUCGUUAGAUUUGAUUGUGUAUAUACCUGCGAAAGAUGGCUUGAUCUUUCCUUCUUUGAUUGCUUGCAGGUACUCUGGGCAGCUUCUCUUCCAAUGUCCUAUCUUGUGGCAGUGGUGGCACUCUGCCUCCUUCGGGUUAGGACAGGGCUUAGCGGGAUCAACUUUGGUCCCACUAGAAGAGGCACCAUCUCGGGCCUUCGCCUUGCGAUAGUUCUUCGAUGAAGCUUUCCUCUUCUUUCCCUUCCCUUGACCAAUAGCCAAGACAGGAGCAGCGGAUGGAUUGGGAGUAGGUGCAACAGACUUGUCCUUGAAGUUGCUCUCAGCGACCCUCAAGAGACCUUGGAGUUUGCUUAGGGUGACCUCUUCUUUGUUCAUGUGGUAGGUCAUCCUAAAUUGGUUGUACAUCGGAGGCAAAGAGUGAAGCACCAUGUCGAUCGCCAAGUCUUCACCGAAGUCAACAUUUAACUUGCGAAGGCGGUCGACAUACCUUUGCAUCUUUUGCAGGUGCACGGUAAGAGAUUCUCCAUGACCCAUCUUAGCGGAAAUCAUGUUGGUGAAAAUCUCAUAACGCUCUUGUCUCGCGUUUUGGUGGUAUCUCUCCAAUAAGUCUUGGUGCAUCUCGUACGGGUACAUGUCCUCGUAGGACUUUUGGAAUUCGGAGUUCAUGGUGGCUAUCAUGAUGCAAUGUACCUUCGUUGCAUCUCGCUCAUGAGUUUCAAAGGCGGUGAUUUCGGCGGGAGUAGCAAUUUCGGGGUUGAUUUUCUCGAGCUUCUCAUCGAGGACAUACUCCUUAUCCUCAUAGCGAGCAAUGGUGCGAAUGUAUCUUAUCCAUUCGCUAAAGUUCGUUCCAUCGAAGGUGACCUUUUGGCAAAGGCUCAUCAACGUGAAAGAACUAGCAGCAGCGUUGUUUGCGUUCGACAUCUACAAUUAGAAAAGGACAAAGAUAGAUUAGAAUAAGAAUCCCUAAUUAUCACCCAAUAAGAAAAUUUAGGGCUAGGAUCCAACAAUAACAUUUACAUACUAGAAAAGGGAUGCCGUAAUCUAACAUGCAAAUAAAUUGAAGGUAAGUGAAUGACGAUUCACUAAUUCUCCAUCACAAAACUUAAACUAUUAGUCCUAAGUGUUUUUGAGAAUUCCUAGGUUCGGAUGAGAUUCAUUGAAACUAUUCAAUGGCAUGUUUAAAUCUCGAUAUGCCCCUCUUGUUUGUGACUGGGAUGCCGAGGAUCACAAAGCGGGUGUGAAUUACCAUGCAAAUUCACAUGGUGCCUUCAUUGUAACGAUCACCUAUUCGAUGUGCCGGUAAACCACACACGCUCCAUCGAACUAUGAUAAACAAUGAAUCACCCUUUGCCACCUUCGCUUAGAACCAAUUAGUGUGCCGGUAAACCACACACGCUCCACUAACAUCUUAGCAAGGUGCAAAGUGUAAUUUCAUGGGAUUGCAUCAAUUCACUUUUCCUAAAGUAACUAGGAUUGGGAAAUUUUAAAAAAAUAUGUAGUUACUUUAUAUUUCUUAUUAUACUUUUAAUGAGAGGAUGAGGUUGCCCUAUCCUACCCGUUCGGCUAACGACCCUCCACCAAUCAAGCAAGCGGUGGGUGUGAGUGUACACCCAUUAAGCGCCAUUUUAUAGGCCGCAACCUUAUACCCACCUUAUAGAUCGGCUUCGUGAAUGAGGCCUACUAACGGUAAGACUAGCAUUUAGUUAUACAUAUAUAUAUUAUUCUAGUAAUAUCAUAUUAGUAUAGGGUUGUAUUUUAAAACUUUUAAAAUCUAGGGUUUGAAAUUUAAGUUGUCUAAAUUAAAACUUUUAAUCACAAAAGUAAAUUUCAAAACAUGAGGGUAGGUUUUAAACAUUUAAAACAUGGAGGAUCAAAUAACAAAUAAUUCCAAUUAACAAUUAAUAUCCUAAUUAUCUAUAUUUGAUUUAUUCAAGAUUUCUUUUAAAGAUAAUUACCAAAAUAAUCAAAAUAAUUAAUUAAUUAUCAUAUAAGGAAAUUAAAUAUUUAAUUAGUUGAUAAUUACCUUUAACUAGAUCAAGAUAAUAGUUAUAUUUAUCAGAAAAACGAAUUAAUGUUGAUCUAAUUAGUUUAUGGUAAGUUAAGAUAAGAUAAACACAAAGAAAUCCCGAAUCUGGCCAUUCCUGACGCCUGGACUCGCCGAGUGCACAAAUGGACUCGCCGAGUCAGGCCUACUCGCCGAGUCCACUUUGAGACUCGCCGAGUCCAUGACUCAGAAACCAAAAAUUCGAAUUUUGCAGGUUUGUUUCAGUUAAUCAAGCAACAAUUUACAGAAAACCAAGCUAGGCUCUGAUACCACUGAUGGGUUUUAGCCAUAAGAACUUUCCUAUGUGCGCAUGCAAAACCCUAAUGCUUGGAUCUAGGCUUUCUAAUAAACAUGCUUUGAAUCCAAGACUUCUAAUUACUAAUUAGGUUAAACAAGAACAUUAAAACAGAUCUAGAAUCAUACCUUUGAGUUCCUUGUUGAUCUUGAGGUCUUGGAGCUUCUAGAGUCACAAAUGUCACUCCUCUAAUGGCUUACAAACACCAAAGCAAGGAGGAUGAUUUGGGAGAGAGGAGAGGGGAGGAAUUUCGACCAGAGGUUCCUUACUUUAGGUCAAGUGUCGAAUUCCAUCAGCCAUGGGGUCUAUUUAUACUUGUAGACUCCUUAAGGAUUACAGAUAAGUCCCUAUCAGAUAAUCUUCUCUUAAGGCUAUCCAAAUCCAUUCCUAGAUAACUCUAAUGGACGAUUUUAGCUAUCCUAAUCCUCUUAGAAUUCGUCCAUAGUAUAUCCAAAUGGAUUUACAGUUUAAAGCUUAACUAUCAAACAAUUGACAGUUUAUACCCCUUUAUUUAAUUAAUCUCUUUAAGUCACCAAAUUAAUUCUAAUUAAUUCUAUGACUUAUAUUAAUCAAAUAACAAAUAUAUUAUUCAUUAUAUUAUUCCCAUAAUAUAUUAAUAAUAUUUAUUCUCUCUUAAUAAAUCAUCCUAUCAAGUUGCUAUGGUGAAGGCAACCCAAAAGGACCAUGCACAACCGGAUAUAGUUACAGCCUUAGACACUAUUCCAACAGUCUCCCACUUGGAUAAGUCUAGUAACUAUACAAGUACAAUUCGGUUUGCAAUCGUAGCUCUCAAAGACGCUGUCAACUCUGAUCUAAUCAAUCUUGUCCUUUAGAUAAGGGAACGUACAGUCCUCUGUUAGAUAUCAUGCUGACAAUCCUAUGGAAUGGUUAGUCAAGCAUUUAGGUUUCUCGAUCUCUGAUUUAUUUGACAUAGAACUUAAUCGAACACAUCAAUUCAGUUCUGACCGGGCCCGGCACAUAAGUCAAAUCAAAUCAUCGAGCGGCCGAGAUAUCGCUUUUACCUUCUUAGAUAAAAGUUACAGAUAAACUUCGACUUAUAUGCAUUUACUUAUUCAUUAACCAACUAUACACAACAAUACGUUUUAUAACACCAAGUUACUGAUGCGUUUUCGUAUUAUCAAUGUACAAUCAAUUAACAAAUAAUAAACCAUAUAUCUAGGUUUUAAGACUAUAUGAUAUUAUCGUCUUGCGAUCACCUUUUAUAUCGUAUUCCAUAAGGUGAUUCCAGCAAGCGCGGGUUUAUUCCAAUGCUCAAAACUAGUUCAUAAGCACUCAUGAACGUUGCAGCAAUCCUUUGCUAUGUCUAACACCAUUUAGACAUUCUACACACCAAUUCAUGACAAUCUUCUUUCAUAUCUACUCCCAACAUAUGAACGAUUGUGGACCAUUUGAAUAAUUCGAUUAUUCCUAAUAAACUCAAUUAUUCUGGAAGUCAAAACAUGCAAAGUGAAACAAUAGCUAAACAAUUAACAUAAGAUAGUAACAUUACUCAUAAAUAAAACUCCUUUAUUUAAUCAUCAAAUGUCAAUUACAUUUAUCUAUUACACGUUUCUAAUACUAUCUAAUCUAUGCUAAUAUCAUCCUUCAGCCCAAUACUCCUAGCAUGCUGCAAGUGCUUAACCCUACUCAGUCCCUUCGUAAGCGGAUCUGCUGGGUUAUCUUCUGAUGAUAUCCUCUUCACUACGAGUUGUCCUUCUUCUACACGAUGUCUAAUGAAGUGAUACUUUCUGUCGAUAUGUCUUGAUCUACCAUGAUCCCUCGGUUCCUUGGUUAAGGCAACCGCACCUUCGUUAUCACAGAAAAUCUCCAUUGGCUCCUUUAUGGCAGGUACGACUCCAAGAUCACCGAUGAAGUUCUUUAGCCAUAUUGCCUCCUUCGACGCUUCGCUCGCUGCAAUGUACUCUGAUUCGCACGUUGAAUCAGCUACGGUUUCCUGCUUGGAACUCUUCCAUGUCACUGCUCCUCCAUUUAGGGUAAAGACCCAGCCCGACUGCGAACGGUAGUUGUCCCUGUCGGUCUGAAAACUGGCGUCACUAUACCCUCGCACCUUCAAGUCAUCACUCCCUCCGAGGACUAAGAACCAUUCCUUCGUCCUCCGAAGGUACUUAAGGAUAUUCUUCACCGCAAUCCAAUGUGCUUUGCCAGGAUUCCCUUGAUAUCUGCUAACCAUGCUCAAAGCGAAGGCUACAUCAGGGCGAGUACAAGUCAUAGCGUACAUGAUUGAGCCAACUGCGGAAGCGUAUGGUACUCGGCUCAUUUCUGCUAUCUCAGCUUCGGUACUCGGACUUUGAGUCUUACUCAAUUUGGCAUUACUUUGUAUCGGUAGUUCUCCCUUCUUUGAGUUUUCCAUACUAAAACGUUUUAGUACCUUCUCUAAGUAAGUAUUCUGACUAAGUCCAAUUAGUCUCUUACUUCUUUCUCUUACUAUCCUUAUUCCCAAAAUGUAAGAAGCCUCUCCGAGGUCCUUCAUAGCGAAGCACUUCCCGAGCCAGGACUUAACCUCCUGCAGAGUCGGGAUGUCGUUUCCUAUGAGUAAUAUGUCAUCGACAUAUAGAACGAGGAAGCUUACUAUACUCCCACUGGCUUUGACAUAUACACAAGAUUCGUCUUCGCUUCGUACAAAUCCAAACUCUUUGACUUUCUCAUCGAAGCAAAGAUUCCAUCUGCGAGACGCUUGCUUAAGUCCAUAAAUGGACUUCUCAAGCUUACACACUCUAUUCGGAUGCUUCGGAUCCACAAACCCCUCUGGCUGAGCCAUGUAAACAUCCUCAGCCAACUUUCCGUUAAGGAAAGCGGUCUUGACAUCCAUUUGCCAAAUCUCAUAAUCAUGAAAUGCGGCAAUUGCUAGCAUCACUCUAAUAGAUUUAAUCUUCGCAACUGGUGAGAAGGUCUCAUCAUAGUCAACUCCGGGAGUUUGAGUAAAGCCCUUCGCAACCAAUCGCGCUUUAUAUGUGUGUACGUUUCCAUCCACGUCGGUCUUCUUCUUGAAGAUCCAUUUGCACCCAACGGUCUUACGUCCGGGCACAUAAUCAACCAAAUUCCAAACUUGGUUAUCAUACAUGGAUUGGAUCUCGCUAUCCAUUGCCUCUUUCCAUUUUGCAGACUCCGGGCCUGCCAUGGCUUCCUUAUAGCUAUUAGGUUCAUCAAGAUUUAUUAGUGUACCAUCACUAAUAUACGUGUCCCCUUCGGUAGUAAUAUGAAAACCAUAAAACUGGGGUUGAACUCUAACUCUAUCGGAACGUCUAAGAGGUAAGGAUUCGUCAAUCGGUUCAACCGGAGUUUCCUCCUCGGGUUGAGUGCCAGCGGUAGAGGUUCCUUCAUCUAUCGACUCUUGAAUCUCUUCAAGCUCGAUUUGCCUCCCACUGUCUCCUUGGCUUAUGAGUUCUCGCUCUCGGAAAACUCCUCUCCUCGCAACGAAGACAACAUUGUCCUUCGGUCUAUAGAAGAGAUAUCCAAAGGAUGUCUGCGGGUAGCCGAUGAAAAUACAUCGCUCACUUCGAGGUUCAAGCUUGUCGUGAGUAUCUCGUCUUACGAAAGCCUCGCAACCCCAAACCUUGAUAUGUGCCAACGAGGGAGCUUUCCCUGUCCACAUCUCGUGAGGUGUUUUGGCAACCUUCUUAGUAGGGACUCGGUUAAGGAUAUGGGCGGCAGUCUCUAAGGCAUACCCCCAAAAAGAGAUAGGUAGUGAAGCACGACUCAUCAUAGAGCGAACCAUAUCCAAUAAGGUUCGAUUACGCCUUUCUGCCACACCAUUCAACUGCGGUGUCCUAGGAGGCGUCAAUUGCGAAACUAUUCCACACUCCUUGAGAUAAUCGUGGAAUUCAAGACUUAGGUACUCUCCUCCUCGAUCGGAUCGAAGCAUCUUGAUUUUCCUGCCCAAUUGAUUCUCCACUUCAUUCUUGAACUCUUUGAACUUUUCAAAGGUGUCUGACUUUUGCUUGAUUAAGUAGAUAUACCCAUAUCUACUAUAGUCAUCGGUAAAAGUCACAUAGAAGCGGUUCCCAUCCUUCGUGGUUGAUCUAAACGGUCCACAUACAUCGGUAUGUAUUAGGUCCAAUAGACCCUCGCCCCUUUCACAUGUACUCGUGAAGGGUGACUUAGUCAUCUUUCCAAGCAAACAAGACUCGCAUGUGUCAUCUUCCCUAAGGUCGAAUGACUCCAACACUCCAUCCUUUUGGAGUUGGGCUAUGCGUUUCUUGUUGACAUGUCCAAGACGACAAUGCCACAAGGAUGCUUUAUCCAUACUAGUGGAAGAAUCAAUAUUCAAAACAUCAUUUCCUAAGUUAUCAACAAUCAUAACGGUUUCAUAUAUUCCAUUACAUGGUAUAGCUUCAAAGUAAAAGACACCAUUUAGAUAAGCCAAAAUAGAACCAUUCUCAUUAUUAAAAGAAAAUCUAAAUCCUUGUCUAUAUAAACCAUGAAAUGAAAUGAUGUUUCUUGCCAUUUCUGGCGAAUAGCAACAAUUGUUCAAAUCUAAAACUAAACUAUUCCUAAGCACUAAGGAAUACACUCCAAUCUUGGUCACAGGCGACGAUCUUCUGUUCCCCAUGAUUAGAUUGAUCCUUCCUUGCUCCACAUCCCUACUUCUUCUUAGUCCCUGCACAUUAGAACAAAUGUGAUAACCACAACCGGUAUCAAGAACCCAAGAAAUAGCAUGAUUAGAAUCGUUAGAUUUGAUUGUAUAUAUACCUGCGAAAGAUGGCUUGAUCUUUCCUUCUUUGAUUGCUUGCAGGUAAUCCGGGCAGCUUCUCUUCCAAUGUCCUAUCUUGUGGCAGUGGUGGCACUCUGCCUCCUUCGGGUUAGAGCAGGGCUUGGCGGGAUCAACUUUGGUCCCACUAGAAGAGGCACCAUCUCGGGCUUUCACCUUGCGAUAGUUCUUCGAUGAAGCUUUCCUCUUCUUUCCCUUCCCUUGUCCAAUAGCCAAGACAGGAGCAGCGGGCGGAUUGGGAGUAGGUGCAACAGACUUGUCUUUGAAGUUGCUCUCAGCAAC